AUUAGAUAUUUUAUAAAAAUACUCUCAACUUCAAGAUCGCAAACGGUGGCUUCAGAUCCACAUAUAAUACAUAAACUUUUUUCUUUAUAAGCAUCCAUAAUACAUAAACAUGACAUAGAUUACUUUUUUCUUCAUAAGCAUCCAUAAUACAUAAACUUGACAUAGAUUUAUUUUCAACCACGACUAGAAACUUAGUUGCGCGCAGAGAGCACAAGUAGUAUUUGAAGAGAUAGAAAUCUAAUUGAUCCGCGCAAAAUCAAGAGACUUCUUUCCUUCAUGGGCAUUGCCAAAGAAAUUUUUCAUAUAAUCUCCAAACACCACUUCUCUAUAAAGAGCCACACCAUCACGUUCCACAAGGUGGCGCAAUGGCCCAAUCUUUUCUGUCGUAUUUGGGAUGGUAAAAACAGGGAUCGAUACUCUCGAUUGCUCACUUGUUGUACGCACCCUGUGUUCAGCACUCUUAUACCUUCCAUUGCUUAGUAUCUGCAAGGUAUCACCAACAUUAAUGACUAAAGCACCAGGAAUUGGUGGGAUCUCCAGCCACUCUCCUUUUUGCUUGCCAUCUAUGUUCUCUUCCACUUUGACAUAAAGACCACCAAUUUCAUCUUGCAGCAACACAGUGAGGGUACCCAUAUCAGAAUGACGACCCACUCCAACAGUCAGCUCUGGAUUUGGACAUGUUGGAUAGAAGUUCAUGUUAACCAUCUUGAAACCAAUUAGUGCAUCUAUUUUUGCAGCUUCCACUGUCACUCCAAGCUUUUCCAUCAGAAUUUUCAAUAUCUUUUCCACCAUCUUGAUUGAUGUUCUUAGGUAUUCCAGUGCAACAUCCUUGCAUUCUUCAGGCCAAACUUUAAGUGCUUCGGAAUCAUUAGUAUAAAGCAUACUGACGUAGUCUUUCCACUCCAAUGCCUUCUCUUUCUCUGGCGCGAAACUUGUCCCAUACGUCACCAACGGGCUAGGGCUCACACCCUUGCGAUAGGCAGCCUUCUUUUCAGGCGGCUGCCCAAAGAACUUGUGAGCUGCAAUCUUCAAGGACUCAAGCAGCUCCACUGGUACGCCAUGGUUCACAACUUGGAAGAACCCUAGAGUCUCAGCUGUUCUAACAAUUUCCUCAGCCACUCGAUCAUGAUCAGGACCAUCUAGUUUUGACAAAUCAAUGGGUGAGUUUUCACUGGGGGUUGAUUUUAGCUUGUCUAUUCUUUCUUCUGGGGGUUGCACAUAUUGCUGUGGUACCGUUGAUAGACCCCUGUCCACCACCCCCUUCACACCAUAGCCAUCUCGGACCACGAAAUUGAAGAGUGACUCUUUAUCAUCAGAAAAACUUGGAGCCAUUGCUUCACAAGGCAAAGUUUGAGAAAGACUAGUGAAAAUUUUUCCUGAUGCAAACUAGUGCAAAGGAUUGCCGAUAUAUAUAUAACUACGGAGUGAGUAGGUAUAUAACUACGGC
This 1447-nucleotide unclassified non-coding RNA is filed under the name Hevea brasiliensis (rubber tree). Lineage: Eukaryota; Viridiplantae; Streptophyta; Magnoliopsida; Malpighiales; Euphorbiaceae. The record is from RNAcentral.